RNAcentral lists this ribosomal RNA (524 nucleotides) under Gammaproteobacteria bacterium. Its description in RNAcentral is "partial 23S ribosomal RNA". It matches the Rfam family "Bacterial large subunit ribosomal RNA", at positions 2414 to 2925 of the family's 2925-position model. The record is from RNAcentral. Lineage: Bacteria; Pseudomonadati; Pseudomonadota; Gammaproteobacteria.
AGUGAUCCGGUGGUUCUGUAUGGAAGGGCCAUCGCUCAACGGAUAAAAGGUACUCUGGGGAUAACAGGCUGAUACCGCCCAAGAGUUCAUAUCGACGGCGGUGUUUGGCACCUCGAUGUCGGCUCAUCUCAUCCUGGGGCUGUAGCCGGUCCCAAGGGUAUGGCUGUUCGCCAUUUAAAGAGGUACGUGAGCUGGGUUUAAAACGUCGUGAGACAGUUUGGUCCCUAUCUUCCGUGGGCGCUGCAGAUUUGAGAGAGCCUGCUCCUAGUACGAGAGGACCGGAGUGGACGCACCUCUGGUGUAUCGGUUGUCACGCCAGUGGCAUUGCCGAGUAGCUAAGUGCGGAAGAGAUAACCGCUGAAAGCAUCUAAGCGGGAAACUCGUCUCAAGAUGAGAUCUGCCGGGGCCCCGAGCCCCCUGAAGAGUCGUUCAAGACCAGGACGUUGAUAGGCUGGGUGUGGAAGCGCAGUAAUGCGUUAAGCUAACCAGUACUAAUUGCUCGUGCGGCUUGACCCUAUAACCUU